Molecule: long non-coding RNA, 547 nt
Organism: Phyllostomus hastatus (greater spear-nosed bat)
Lineage: Eukaryota; Metazoa; Chordata; Mammalia; Chiroptera; Phyllostomidae
Exons: 3
Source: RefSeq, a predicted model, not a curated record
GUAUAGUCAGGGAAAUCCCUGAGAAUUUGCUGACCUCAAAGCUCAAAAAUGUGACUGUGGAUCCAUAAGAGAAGGAGAGUGCAUCUUUGUGGAAACUUACCUGAAAGCCCAGAGGAGAAACAACAAGAAGGUGUUAGACUUAAAGUGGCCCAACUUUCACGUGCUUCCUGAGCAUACACUGCUGAAGACCCCUGCUCCCGCAUGGAAAAUGUUUCCAGAUAGUUCUGCUUCUCCACAAGACAAGAAAGGCAGAGGACUCAGUUGACCGGCUUCCUUUCCUUUAGGCCUGGCUUCUUAGCACUCACUUUGGAUUUAAAGAAAUGCAAAGCACCGAUAUCUAUCAGAGAUCUCCUUCCAACUUGACCGCUGGUCUCGCUGCCUCCUGGCUUCCCUGUUCUUCCCUGCCCGUUUCCCUGAGUGACAGUGGACAUAUUCACUAUUCGUGACCAAGCUCUUGUCUUCGGACAUUACAGGUGCCUUUGCGAAACAAAUACUAUAUUUAAUUUUUUCAGGAUAAUAAGGAUAUUGAAAUAGGCUAUGAGUAGAA